This 253-nucleotide ribosomal RNA is filed under the name uncultured bacterium. RNAcentral's name for it is "partial 16S ribosomal RNA". It matches the Rfam family "Bacterial small subunit ribosomal RNA", at positions 524 to 776 of the family's 1533-position model. The record is from RNAcentral.
UACGUAGGUGGCGAGCGUUGUCCGGAUUUACUGGGCGUAAAGGGAGCGUAGGCGGACUUUUAAGUGAGAUGUGAAAUACUCGGGCUCAACUUGAGUGCUGCAUUUCAAACUGGAAGUCUAGAGUACAGGAGAGGAGAAUGGAAUUCCUAGUGUAGCGGUGAAAUGCGUAGAGAUUAGGAAGAACACCAGUGGCGAAGGCGAUUCUCUGGACUGUAACCGACGCUGAGGCUCGAAAGCGUGGGGAGCAAACAGG